Unclassified non-coding RNA from Chelonoidis abingdonii (Abingdon island giant tortoise), 170 nucleotides. The record is from Ensembl. Lineage: Eukaryota; Metazoa; Chordata; Testudines; Testudinidae.
UUGGCAGCCAGGGAGACUACAGUCCUCUGUUUCUCCACAGAACAGGUACAGCAGAGGCUCCAGCAGUACAAGCAGCACUUACACUGCCACACAAAUGUGCCUCAGCCCCAACCCAGAAGGUGAGAAGGUACAUCAGUCAGUCUCCAUGGCCCAUGCAGUCUUCAACUUCU